UACGGAGGAUCCAAGCGUUAUCCGGAUUCAUUGGGUUUAAAGGGUGCGUAGGCGGAAUGAUAAGUCAGUGGUGAAAUCUCUUCGCUUAACGAAGAAACUGCCAUUGAUACUGUCAAUCUUGAGUACAUUUGAUGUGGGCGGAAUGUGUCAUGUAGCGGUGAAAUGCUUAGAUAUGACACAGAACACCGAUUGCGAAGGCAGCUCACAAAACUGUAACUGACGCUGAGGCACGAAAGCGUGGGUAUCAAACAGG
Molecule: ribosomal RNA, 253 nt
Filed under: uncultured bacterium
Lineage: Bacteria
Description: partial 16S ribosomal RNA
Rfam family: Bacterial small subunit ribosomal RNA
Source: RNAcentral